This 82-nucleotide transfer RNA is filed under the name Fusarium tricinctum. RNAcentral describes it as "tRNA-Ala". It matches the Rfam family "tRNA". From Rfam's summary of the family: Transfer RNA (tRNA) molecules are approximately 80 nucleotides in length. Their secondary structure includes four short double-helical elements and three loops (D, anti-codon, and T loops). Lineage: Eukaryota; Fungi; Ascomycota; Sordariomycetes; Hypocreales; Nectriaceae. The record is from RNAcentral.
GGGGGUAUGGUGUAGGGGUAUCACAUUCGCUUUGCAUCAAUCCGCUUGCGAAAGGUCUAGGGUUCAAAUCCCUAUGCCUCCA